ACAUGCAGUCGNNGAGANCUUCGGAUCUAGUGGCGCACGGGUGCGUAACGCGUGGGAAUCUGCCCUUGGGUUCGGAAUAACUUCUGGAAACGGAAGCUAAUACCGGAUGAUGACGUAAGUCCAAAGAUUUAUCGCCCAAGGAUGAGCCCGCGUAGGAUUAGCUAGUUGGUGAGGUAAAGGCUCACCAAGGCGACGAUCCUUAGCUGGUCUGAGAGGAUGAUCAGCCACACUGGGACUGAGACACGGCCCAGACUCCUACGGGAGGCAGCAGUAGGGAAUAUUGGACAAUGGGCGAAAGCCUGAUCCAGCAAUGCCGCGUGAGUGAUGAAGGCCUUAGGGUUGUAAAGCUCUUUUACCCGGGAUGAUAAUGACAGUACCGGGAGAAUAAGCUCCGGCUAACUCCGUGCCAGCAGCCGCGGUAAUACGGAGGGAGCUAGCGUUGUUCGGAAUUACUGGGCGUAAAGCGCACGUAGGCGGCUAUUCAAGUCAGAGGUGAAAGCCCGGGGCUCAACCCCGGAACUGCCUUUGAAACUAGAUAGCUUGAAUCCAGGAGAGGUGAGUGGAAUUCCGAGUGUAGA
Molecule: ribosomal RNA, 578 nt
Filed under: bacterium het-d-2
Lineage: Bacteria
Description: bacterial SSU rRNA
Rfam family: Bacterial small subunit ribosomal RNA
Source: RNAcentral